ACAGGGAUUGCCCUAGUAACGGCGAGUGAAGCGGCAACAGCUCAAAUUUGAAAUCUGGCGUCUUUGGCGUCCGAGUUGUAAUUUGCAGAGGGCGCUUUGGCAUUGGCAGCGGUCCAAGUUCCUUGGAACAGGACGUCACAGAGGGUGAGAAUCCCGUACGUGGUCGCUAGCCUUUACCGUGUAAAGCCCCUUCGACGAGUCGAGUUGUUUGGGAAUGCAGCUCUAAAUGGGAGGUAAAUUUCUUCUAAAGCUAAAUACUGGCCAGAGACCGAUAGCGCACAAGUAGAGUGAUCGAAAGAUGAAAAGCACUUUGGAAAGAGAGUUAAAAAGCACGUGAAAUUGUUGAAAGGGAAGCGCUUGCAGCCAGACUUGCCUGUAGUUGCUCAUCCGGGUUUUUACCCGGUGCACUCUUCUACGGGCAGGCCAGCAUCAGUUUGGGCGGUUGGAUAAAGGUCUCUGUCAUGUACCUCCUCUCGGGGAGAUCUUAUAGGGGAGACGACAUGCAACCAGCCUGGACUGAGGUCCGCGCAUCUGCUAGGAUGCUGGCGUAAUGGCUGUAAGCGGCCCGUCUUGAAACACGGACCAAGGAGUCUAACAUCUAUGCGAGUGUUUGGGUGUCAAGCCCGAACGCGUAAUGAAAGNGAACGGAGGUGGGAACCUUUCGGGGUGCACCAUCGACCGAUCCUGAUGUCUUCGGAUGGAUUUGAGUAAGAGCAUAGCUGUUGGGACCCGAAAGAUGGUGAACUAUGCUUGAAUAGGGUGAAGCCAGAGGAAACUCUGGUGGAGGCUCGCAGCGGUUCUGACGUGCAAAUCGAUCGUCAAAUUUGGGCAUAGGGGCGAAAGACUAAUCGAACUAUCUAGUAGCUGGUUCCUGCCGAAGUUUCCCUCAGGAUAGCAGUAACGUUUUCAGUUUUAUGAGGUAAAGCGAAUGAUUAGAGGCCUGGGGGUUGAAACAACCUUCACCUAUUCUCAAACUUUAAAUAUGUAAGAAGUCCUUGUUACUUAAUUGAACGUGGACAGUUGAAUGUAUCGUUACUAGUGGGCCAUUUUUGGUAAGCAGAACUGGCGAUGCGGGAUGAACCGAACGCGGGG
RNAcentral lists this ribosomal RNA (1092 nucleotides) under Epicoccum nigrum. Its description in RNAcentral is "partial 28S ribosomal RNA". It matches the Rfam family "Eukaryotic large subunit ribosomal RNA", at positions 68 to 1179 of the family's 3401-position model. Lineage: Eukaryota; Fungi; Ascomycota; Dothideomycetes; Pleosporales; Didymellaceae. The record is from RNAcentral.